CCUACGGGAGGCAGCAGUGAGGAAUAUUGGUCAAUGGGCGCGAGCCUGAACCAGCCAAGUCGCGUGAAGGAUGAAGGUUCUAUGGAUUGUAAACUUCUUUUAUGGGGGAAUAAAGUUCGGGACGUGUCCCGUUUUGUAUGUACCUCAUGAAUAAGCAUCGGCUAACUACGUGCCAGCAGCCGCGGUAAUAAGG
RNAcentral lists this ribosomal RNA (193 nucleotides) under uncultured bacterium. RNAcentral describes it as "partial 16S ribosomal RNA". It matches the Rfam family "Bacterial small subunit ribosomal RNA", at positions 338 to 528 of the family's 1533-position model. The record is from RNAcentral.